UACGUAGGGUCCGAGCGUUGUCCGGAAUUAUUGGGCGUAAAGCGCGCGCAGGCGGUCCUUUAAGUCUGAUGUGAAAGCCCACGGCUCAACCGUGGAGGGUCAUUGGAAACUGGGGGACUUGAGUACAGAAGAGAAGAGUGGAAUUCCACGUGUAGCGGUGAAAUGCGUAGAGAUGUGGAGGAACACCAGUGGCGAAGGCGACUCUUUGGUCUGUAACUGACGCUGAGGCGCGAAAGCGUGGGGAGCAAACAGG
RNAcentral lists this ribosomal RNA (253 nucleotides) under uncultured bacterium. Its description in RNAcentral is "partial 16S ribosomal RNA". It matches the Rfam family "Bacterial small subunit ribosomal RNA", at positions 524 to 776 of the family's 1533-position model. The record is from RNAcentral.